Molecule: transfer RNA, 77 nt
Filed under: bacterium CG10_49_38
Lineage: Bacteria
Also listed under: 1 other name
Description: tRNA-Ile
Rfam family: tRNA
About the family: Transfer RNA (tRNA) molecules are approximately 80 nucleotides in length.
Source: RNAcentral
GCGAGUAUAGCUCAGAUGGUUAGAGCGCGUCACUGAUAAUGACGAGGUCCCAGGUUCGAGUCCUGGUACUCGCACAA